RNAcentral lists this ribosomal RNA (460 nucleotides) under uncultured bacterium. RNAcentral's name for it is "partial 16S ribosomal RNA". It matches the Rfam family "Bacterial small subunit ribosomal RNA", at positions 338 to 795 of the family's 1533-position model. The record is from RNAcentral.
CCUACGGGUGGCAGCAGUGAGGAAUAUUGGUCAAUGGGCGCAAGCCUGAACCAGCCAUGCCGCGUGAAGGAUGACUGCCCUAUGGGUUGUAAACUUCUUUUGUACGGGGGUAAAGUGAGACACGUGUACCUUUUUGUAUGUACUUUACGAAUAAGGAUCGGCUAACUCCGUGCCAGCAGCCGCGGUAAUACGGAGGAUGCGAGCGUUGUCCGGAUUUAUUGGGUUUAAAGGGAACGUAGCUGGUGUGUUAAGUCAGAUGUGAAAUUGUGGGGCUCAAACUGGGAAGUGCAAUUGAUACUGGCAGGCUUGAGUAUAGUUGAGGUAGGCGGAAUUCGUGGUGUAGCGGUGAAAUGCUUAGAGAGCAGGAAGAACACCGAUUGCGAAGGCAGCUUACUAAGCUGCGACUGACGUUGAGGCUCGAAAGCGUGGGUAGCAAACAGGAUUAGAUACCCCGGUAGUC